RNAcentral lists this ribosomal RNA (420 nucleotides) under bacterium. RNAcentral describes it as "partial 16S ribosomal RNA". It matches the Rfam family "Bacterial small subunit ribosomal RNA", at positions 355 to 776 of the family's 1533-position model. The record is from RNAcentral.
UGGGGGAUAUUGCACAAUGGGCGAAAGCCUGAUGCAGCGACGCCGCGUGGGGGAUGAAGGCUUUCGGGUUGUAAACCUCUUUCGCUAUCGAACAAGGCCCGCUUAGGGUGGGUUGAGGGCAGGUGGAGAAGAAGCGCCGGCUAACUACGUGCCAGCAGCCGCGGUAAUACGUAGGGCGCGAGCGUUGUCCGGAAUUAUUGGGCGUAAAGGGCUUGUAGGCGGCUUGUUGCGCCUGCUGUGAAAACGCGGGGCUUAACUUCGCGCGUGCAGUGGGUACGGGCAGGCUUGAGUGUGGUAGGGGUGACUGGAAUUCCAGGUGUAGCGGUGGAAUGCGCAGAUCUCUGGAGGAACACCGAUGGCGAAGGCAGGUCACUGGGCCAUUACUGACGCUGAGGAGCGAAAGCAUGGGUAGCGAACAGG